GUGAAGUCAUUGAUGCCAUGCUUCCAGGAAAAGCCUCUAAGCUUCAGAUUUGAUGGAAUCGUACCCCAAACCGACACAGGUGGUCGGGUAGAGAAUACCAAGGCGCUUGAGAGAACUCGGGUGAAGGAACUAGGCAAAAUGGUACCGUAACUUCGGGAGAAGGUACGCUCUUGAUGGUGAAGUCCCUCGCGGAUGGAGCUGACGAGAGUCGCAGAUACCAGGUGGCUGCAACUGUUUAUUAAAAACACAGCACUGUGCAAAAUCGCAAGAUGACGUAUACGGUGUGACGCCUGCCCGGUGCCGGAAGGUUAAUUGAUGGGGUUAGCGUAAGCGAAGCUCUUGAUCGAAGCCCCGGUAAACGGCGGCCGUAACUAUAACGGUCCUAAGGUAGCGAAAUUCCUUGUCGGGUAAGUUCCGACCUGCACGAAUGGCGUAAUGAUGGCCACGCUGUCUCCACCCGAGACUCAGUGAAAUUGAAAUCGCUGUGAAGAUGCAGUGUACCCGCGGCUAGACGGAAAGACCCCGUGAACCUUUACUACAGCUUGGCACUGAACAUUGAACCUACAUGUGUAGGAUAGGUGGGAGGCUAUGAAGACGUGACGCUAGUUGCGUUGGAGCCGUCCUUGAAAUACCACCCUUGUAUGUUUGAUGUUCUAACUUAGACCCAUUAUCUGGGUUGAGGACAGUGCCUGGUGGGUAGUUUGACUGGGGCGGUCUCCUCCCAAAGAGUAACGGAGGAGCACGAAGGUGGGCUAAUCACGGUUGGACAUCGUGAGGUUAGUGCAAUGGCAUAAGCCCGCUUAACUGCGAGAAUGACGGUUCGAGCAGGUGCGAAAGCAGGUCAUAGUGAUCCGGUGGUUCUGUAUGGAAGGGCCAUCGCUCAACGGAUAAAAGGUACUCCGGGGAUAACAGGCUGAUACCGCCCAAGAGUUCAUAUCGACGGCGGUGUUUGGCACCUCGAUGUCGGCUCAUCACAUCCUGGGGCUGAAGUCGGUCCCAAGGGUAUGGCUGUUCGCCAUUUAAAGUGGUACGCGAGCUGGGUUUAGAACGUCGUGAGACAGUUCGGUCCCUAUCUGCCGUGGGCGUUGGAAGAUUGAAGGGGGCUGCUCCUAGUACGAGAGGACCGGAGUGGACGAACCUCUGGUGUUCGGGUUGUGUCGCCAGACGCAUUGCCCGGUAGCUAAGUUCGGAAUCGAUAACCGCUGAAAGCAUCUAAGCGGGAAGCGAGCCCUGAGAUGAGUCUUCCCUGACAGUUUAACUGUCCUAAAGGGUUGUUCGAGACUAGAACGUUGAUAGGCAGGGUGUGUAAGCGUUGUGAGGCGUUGAGCUAACCUGUACUAAUUGCCCGUGAGGCUUAACCAUACAACACCCAAGGGGUUUUGUA
This 1384-nucleotide ribosomal RNA is filed under the name Vibrio metoecus. RNAcentral's name for it is "bacterial LSU rRNA". It matches the Rfam family "Bacterial large subunit ribosomal RNA", at positions 1585 to 2925 of the family's 2925-position model. The record is from RNAcentral. Lineage: Bacteria; Pseudomonadati; Pseudomonadota; Gammaproteobacteria; Vibrionales; Vibrionaceae.